GAUAACAUUGAGUGAUGGCGACGGGUGAGUAACACGUGGUAACCUGCCCUAAAGUGGGGGAUAACAUUUGGAAACAGAUGCUAAUACCGCAUAAAACCUAACACCGCAUGGUGUAGGGUUGAAGGAUGGUUUCGGCUAUCACUUUAGGAUGGACCCGCGGUGCAUUAGUUAGUUGGUGAGGUAAAGGCUCACCAAGACCGUGAUGCAUAGCCGACCCGAGAGGGUAAUCGGCCACACUGGGACUGAGACACGGCCCAGACUCCUACGGGAGGCAGCAGUAGGGAAUCUUCCACAAUGGACGAAAGUCUGAUGGAGCAACGCCGCGUGAGUGAAGAAGGUUUUCGGAUCGUAAACUCUGUUGUUGGAGAAGAAUGUAUCUGAUAGUAACUGAUCAGGUAGUGACGGUAUCCAACCAGAAAGCCACGGCUAACUACGUG
This 437-nucleotide ribosomal RNA is filed under the name uncultured bacterium. RNAcentral describes it as "bacterial SSU rRNA". It matches the Rfam family "Bacterial small subunit ribosomal RNA", at positions 78 to 507 of the family's 1533-position model. The record is from RNAcentral.